GGAGAGAUGGCAGAGUGGUCGAUUGCGGCAGUCUUGAAAACUGUUGAGCCGCAAGGCUCCGGGGGUUCGAAUCCCUCUCUCUCCG
RNAcentral lists this transfer RNA (85 nucleotides) under Prevotellaceae bacterium. Its description in RNAcentral is "tRNA-Ser". It matches the Rfam family "tRNA". From Rfam's summary of the family: Transfer RNA (tRNA) molecules are approximately 80 nucleotides in length. Lineage: Bacteria; Pseudomonadati; Bacteroidota; Bacteroidia; Bacteroidales; Prevotellaceae. The record is from RNAcentral.